AACGAACGCUGGCGGCAUGCCUAACACAUGCAAGUCGAACGAGACCUUCGGGUCUAGUGGCGCACGGGUGCGUAACGCGUGGGAACCUGCCCUUAGGUUCGGAAUAACUCCCCGAAAGGGGUGCUAAUACCGGAUAAUGUCUUCGGACCAAAGAUUUAUCGCCUUUGGAUGGGCCCGCGUUGGAUUAGCUAGUUGGUAGGGUAAAAGCCUACCAAGGCGACGAUCCAUAGCUGGUCUGAGAGGAUGAUCAGCCACACUGGGACUGAGACACGGCCCAGACUCCUACGGGAGGCAGCAGUGGGGAAUAUGGGACAAUGGGCGAAAGCCUGAUCCAGCAAUGCCGCGUGAGUGAUGAAGGCCCUAGGGUUGUAAAGCUCUUUUACCCGGGAUGAUAAUGACAGUACCGGGGAAUAAGCUCCGGCUAACUCCGUG
RNAcentral lists this ribosomal RNA (432 nucleotides) under uncultured bacterium. RNAcentral describes it as "partial 16S ribosomal RNA". It matches the Rfam family "Bacterial small subunit ribosomal RNA", at positions 29 to 507 of the family's 1533-position model. The record is from RNAcentral.